GACGAACGCUGGCGGCGUGCUUAACACAUGCAAGUCGAGCGGUAAGGCCCUUUCGGGGGUACGACGAGCGGCGAACGGGUGAGUAACACGUGGGUGACCUGCCCUCAGCUCUGGGAUAAGCUGGGAAACCGGGUCUAAUACUGGAUAUGACUCCAUGACGCAUGUUGUGGGGUGGAAAGCCUUGUGCGGCUGAGGAUGGGCCCGCGGCCUAUCAGCUUGUUGGUGGGGUGAGGCCUACCAAGGCGACGACGGGUAGCCGGCCUGAGAGGGCGACCGGCCACACUGGGACUGAGACACGGCCCAGACUCCUACGGGAGGCAGCAGUGGGGAAGUCUUGCGCAAUGGGCGAAAGCCUGACGCAGCGACGCCGCGUGAGGGAUGACGGCCUCGGUUGUAA
Molecule: ribosomal RNA, 397 nt
Filed under: uncultured bacterium
Lineage: Bacteria
Description: bacterial SSU rRNA
Rfam family: Bacterial small subunit ribosomal RNA
Source: RNAcentral